Molecule: ribosomal RNA, 433 nt
Filed under: uncultured bacterium
Lineage: Bacteria
Description: partial 16S ribosomal RNA
Rfam family: Bacterial small subunit ribosomal RNA
Source: RNAcentral
AGCGAACGCUGGCGGCAGGCCUAACACAUGCAAGUCGAACGAACCUUUCGGGGUUAGUGGCGGACGGGUGAGUAACACGUGGGAACGUGCCUUUAGGUUCGGAAUAACUCAGGGAAACUUGUGCUAAUACCGAAUGUGCCCUUCGGGGGAAAGAUUUAUCGCCUUUAGAGCGGCCCGCGUCUGAUUAGCUAGUUGGUUGAGGUAAUGGCUCACCAAGGCGACGAUCAGUAGCUGGUCUGAGAGGAUGAUCAGCCACAUUGGGACUGAGACACGGCCCAAACUCCUACGGGAGGCAGCAGUGGGGAAUCUUGCGCAAUGGGCGAAAGCCUGACGCAGCCAUGCCGCGUGAAUGAUGAAGGUCUUAGGAUUGUAAAAUUCUUUCACCGGGGACGAUAAUGACGGGACCCGGAGAAGAAGCCCCGGCGAACUGCGU